RNAcentral lists this ribosomal RNA (471 nucleotides) under uncultured bacterium. RNAcentral describes it as "bacterial SSU rRNA". It matches the Rfam family "Bacterial small subunit ribosomal RNA", at positions 335 to 799 of the family's 1533-position model. The record is from RNAcentral.
ACUCCUACGGGAGGCAGCAGUGGGGAAUAUUGCACAAUGGGCGCAAGCCUGAUGCUGCCAUGCCGCGUGUGUGAAGAAGGCCUUCGGUUGUAAAGCACUUUCAGUUGUGAGGAAGGUGGUGUCGUUAAUAGCGGCAUCAUUUGACGUUAGCAACAGAAGAAGCACCGGCUAACUCCGUGCCAGCAGCCGCGGUAAUACGGAGGGUGCGAGCGUUAAUCGGAAUUACUGGGCGUAAAGCGCAUGCAGGUGGUUUGUUAAGUCAGAUGUGAAAGCCCGGGGCGUCAACCUCGGAACUGCAUUUGAAACUGGCAGACUAGAGUACUGUAGAGGGGGUAGAAUUUCAGGUGUAGCGGUGAAAUGCGUAGAGAUCUGAAGGAAUACCGGUGGCGAAGGCGGCCCCCUGGACAGAUACUGACACUCAGAUGCGAAAGCUGGGGAGCAAACAGGAUUAGAUACCCUGGUAGCACAGAG